GCGAAGGUGGCGAAAUUGGUAGACGCACUAGGUUUAGGUCCUAGCGCCGCAAGGUGUGGGGGUUCGAGUCCCCCCCUUCGCA
This 82-nucleotide transfer RNA is filed under the name Pseudomonadota bacterium. RNAcentral describes it as "Proteobacteria bacterium tRNA-Leu". It matches the Rfam family "tRNA". From Rfam's summary of the family: Transfer RNA (tRNA) molecules are approximately 80 nucleotides in length. Their secondary structure includes four short double-helical elements and three loops (D, anti-codon, and T loops). Further hydrogen bonds mediate the characteristic L-shaped molecular structure. tRNAs have two regions of fundamental functional importance: the anti-codon, which is responsible for specific mRNA codon recognition, and the 3' end, to which the tRNAs corresponding amino acid is attached (by aminoacyl-tRNA synthetases). tRNAs cope with the degeneracy of the genetic code in two manners: having more than one tRNA (with a specific anti-codon) for a particular amino acid; and 'wobble' base-pairing, i.e. permitting non-standard base-pairing at the 3rd anti-codon position. Lineage: Bacteria; Pseudomonadati; Pseudomonadota. The record is from RNAcentral.